Molecule: ribosomal RNA, 749 nt
Filed under: Microbacterium aurantiacum
Lineage: Bacteria; Bacillati; Actinomycetota; Actinomycetes; Micrococcales; Microbacteriaceae
Description: partial 16S ribosomal RNA
Rfam family: Bacterial small subunit ribosomal RNA
Source: RNAcentral
CGGUGAAGCCAAGCUUGCUUGGUGGAUCAGUGGCGAACGGGUGAGUAACACGUGAGCAACCUGCCCUGGACUCUGGGAUAAGCGCUGGAAACGGUGUCUAAUACUGGAUAUGAGCUCUCAUCGCAUGGUGGGGGUUGGAAAGAUUUUUCGGUCUGGGAUGGGCUCGCGGCCUAUCAGCUUGUUGGUGAGGUAAUGGCUCACCAAGGCGUCGACGGGUAGCCGGCCUGAGAGGGUGACCGGCCACACUGGGACUGAGACACGGCCCAGACUCCUACGGGAGGCAGCAGUGGGGAAUAUUGCACAAUGGGCGGAAGCCUGAUGCAGCAACGCCGCGUGAGGGAUGACGGCCUUCGGGUUGUAAACCUCUUUUAGCAGGGAAGAAGCGAGAGUGACGGUACCUGCAGAAAAAGCGCCGGCUAACUACGUGCCAGCAGCCGCGGUAAUACGUAGGGCGCAAGCGUUAUCCGGAAUUAUUGGGCGUAAAGAGCUCGUAGGCGGUUUGUCGCGUCUGCUGUGAAAUCCCGAGGCUCAACCUCGGGCCUGCAGUGGGUACGGGCAGACUAGAGUGCGGUAGGGGAGAUUGGAAUUCCUGGUGUAGCGGUGGAAUGCGCAGAUAUCAGGAGGAACACCGAUGGCGAAGGCAGAUCUCUGGGCCGUAACUGACGCUGAGGAGCGAAAGGGUGGGGAGCAAACAGGCUUAGAUACCCUGGUAGUCCACCCCGUAAACGUUGGGAACUAGUUGUGGGGAC